UCUGAUAAAGGCAAACCUUGGGUAACCAAGGGACGCAAAGUAAAGGGUCUUAAUCAUAAAGACAGCCUUACUGCCGAAG
This 79-nucleotide non-coding RNA is filed under the name Candidatus Brocadia. Its description in RNAcentral is "c-di-GMP sequence". It matches the Rfam family "c-di-GMP-I-GGC riboswitch aptamer". Lineage: Bacteria; Pseudomonadati; Planctomycetota; Candidatus Brocadiia; Candidatus Brocadiales; Candidatus Brocadiaceae. RNAcentral also lists the same sequence under 1 other name. The record is from RNAcentral.